Molecule: long non-coding RNA, 318 nt
Filed under: Pongo abelii (Sumatran orangutan)
Lineage: Eukaryota; Metazoa; Chordata; Mammalia; Primates; Hominidae
Description: lincRNA
Source: RNAcentral
GCUUUCUCUGGGCUCCUGAGGUUCUCCUUGCAGUGUCAUCACACCGACCCUUGCGACUCCUUCCCACCACGGAGGGAGGGGAUGGACUCUUGCUUCUUUUCCCAACUCCACCAAGAGGGACCGUCCCAGGACGUCCUUCCCCGGGCAUCCGGCCCUACAGCUGCCUGAGGUCUCCAUCACCAUUGGUGCCAUCAGUCUGCUGUGCAGCCAGCUCUUGGUUUGGAGAGCCUGAAGAAUUGCAGUUCACGUCUCAUCUAAAGGAGCUGAAAUGAUAUUGCAGCUUUUUCUUUUGGUUGUGUGCGGUGAGAAUCUGGGAGC